Molecule: long non-coding RNA, 2310 nt
Organism: Paramisgurnus dabryanus
Lineage: Eukaryota; Metazoa; Chordata; Actinopteri; Cypriniformes; Cobitidae
Source: RefSeq, a predicted model, not a curated record
ACACUUGUCCUCAAAUUGAGGUAUUACGAGCAGCAUGGUUACUUCCAGCAUGAUAAUGGACCAUGGUUCACAACAAAAUUACAGUUUUUUCCAACUGCUUACACACAAAAUCUUUUCAUGUCACACGAUUUUUGAAAUCUCUCAUUUAAAGUGCAAACAUACACACCAAAUCUCCAAAAACCAUAAGCUAAUACACAGCCUUUGAUUCAAUUACAUAAAACACAAUUCUGUACCUAAAACAUAAAAAUCUAUCAUGAAGUGACUUUUCCAAACACAACCAAUCAAAAUGCUACACUUAUUCACCAGGGCCUCAUUUAAAGGAAUGCUUCAGGAUUUAGAAUUAAGCUUUGUAUCAGUAGAAAACCAGUAGUAUUUUUGAAUUACCGUGCCUCUCCCCUUCAUAUCACCCCGAGAUGAGAGGUGUGUAUUUUUUGUCUGGAAAAAAAGCCUCCGAUGACGCAAAUUGACGAUUUUUGCGUCAUCUGAGGUUUCUUUGGCCAGAGGCUUAAAAUUACAGACAGUAGUAGCAGCUAGUUCCACAUGUUUUCACUACGCCCAUGUGGGUGGGAUCUCACUCACAGAAUGUAAAGAUAGUGUCAGCCAUCUUUAGAAGCUAAGCUAACAGGCUAUUGAGUAAAUGUAUUGUGCAGCGGAGGCGUUUGUGUGCAGGGUGCGGCAUUUUCAUCUUUGGAAUUAUUUACAUGUUUGGCCAAAAUAACUAAGAAACUGAGUGAAGCUUGCUCUUACGACACAAUUCGUUUCUGUGUUGAACCAACCACCCAAGCUUCGUAUCGUGUAUGGACAGCGGAGUCCUGGAUACAUAUUUUAGAAUCCUAAACUGGAAGCGGCAGCCAAAGCCUGCAGGGAUAAAUGGACGUCUGACCUUACAAUUAAAUGUUCCUUUAAGUUCAAACCGGUAGACAAGGAAGGAGAGUCAUCUCUGAUGAGUUUAGGGCUACACUUGUUGAUCAUGUGAUUAACCACAGUUUAACCAUGAGAGAGGCUGGACUGACAGUCCAACUUGAGUCAAUUUACAGUGGCGUCCAUCAUCUGAACCUUCAGAAAUGAGAACAGAGUGGAAAGGCAAAGACAACAUGGAAGACGAGGACACUUGUUUACAGAUGUACAAGAGACUAGAAUUUUAAAUAUGGUUUUGUCCAACAAUGCAAUUAGGAUUCGAGAGAUAAGAGAGCAUAUCUUGAAUAAUGACACCAAAUUUGACAACAUCAAUGCUGUAAGCCUGUCGACCAUACAACGCAUCCUCCAAUAGUGAUGAUGAAACAACUUUACAAGGUGCCAGUUGAAAGAAACUCGGACAGAGUCAAGAAUCUGCGACAUGACUUUGUAGAGGCACCACAGAAGAAAUGUAAUAGGACAGAGGGCAAUUUCCAAUGUCCCUGGACAGCUGUGAGCCUAUGGGGUGCUGCCAUCACUUAAAACUGGGUCCUCCACCACAAUGCCACACUGGGUCUGUACAACACCUGCCAAAUGCUAAUUUUUCUUGAUGCAAUUUACAGAAUGCUUGUCCCUGAUUCAGAUCAGGAGCCUGCUAGAUUUGUGGUUACAUCGGACUAUGUUAGUUUUCACUGGGCUAUUCUGGUCAAAUGCUAACUUUUCUUGAUGCAUUUUACAGAAUGCUUGUCCCUGAUUCAGAUCAGGAUCCUGCUAGAUUUGUGGUAACAUCGGACUAUGUUAUUUUUCACUGGGCUAUUCUGGUCCAAAACUGAUUUGCCACCCAUUCACAAUUUGAAGUUUUGUACCAACCCCCAUUUCUAAAUCCGGUGGAAAGUAUAUCAUCGCCAAAACCUAUGUCCUGCAUGGCACUUCUCCAGGCAGUUGAGGACAUAGAGGUUGCCUCUGUCCAAGGUUGGUUUUGCCAUGCUAGGAGAUACUUCCCUCAGUGUUUGGCAAGAGGAAACGUAUCUUGUGAUGUGGAAGAAGUAUUGUGGCCAGACCCAGCCCGAAGAAGAGAUAAAGCGUAGUGACUGCCCUCCCCCCAUCAAUUCCUGGACUGCUCCCCCGGGACCCCCCCACAUACACAAUUGCGUUCUUUACUGUAUUUUAAAGAAUAUACUUUUGGUUUACAUGUAUUUGAUUUUGUUGUAUGCUACUCUAUACAACAAUAACGUCUGGCCACUCUACUGAAAUGUAGAUAUAAGCCUAUGAAAGACCAAAGAGCUUUAGAUUUGGAACAACAGUGUUUUCAUGGUUUAUCCAAACAUUUACUAUUAUGAAAGUGUUUGGCAUUUGAUGCAAAUGCUUUAUUCUGACAUGUGUUUAUGGCAUUUUGAAUGCAGUGUUACAUUUUGA